AGAGCGAACGCUGGCGGCAGGCUUAACACAUGCAAGUCGAGCGGGCGUAGCAAGUACGUCAGCGGCAGACGGGUGAGUAACGCGUGGGAACGUACCUUUGGUUCGGAACAACCCAGGGAAACUUGGGCUAAUACCGGAUAAGCCCUUACGGGGAAAGAUUUAUCGCCGAAAGAUCGGCCCGCGUCUGAUUAGCUAGUUGGUGAGGUAAUGGCUCACCAAGGCGACGAUCAGUAGCUGGUCUGAGAGGAUGAUCAGCCACAUUGGGACUGAGACACGGCCCAAACUCCUACGGGAGGCAGCAGUGGGGAAUAUUGGACAAUGGGCGCAAGCCUGAUCCAGCCAUGCCGCGUGAGUGAUGAAGGCCCUAGGGUUGUAAAGCUCUUUUGUGCGGGAAGAUAAUGACGGUACCGCAAGAAUAAGCCCCGGCUAACUCGUGCCAGCAGCCGC
This 447-nucleotide ribosomal RNA is filed under the name uncultured bacterium. Its description in RNAcentral is "SSU rRNA". It matches the Rfam family "Bacterial small subunit ribosomal RNA", at positions 26 to 518 of the family's 1533-position model. The record is from RNAcentral.